GAUGAACGCUGACAGCAUGCUUAACACAUGCAAGUCUUUGGCGAAUCUGUGCUUGCACCGGCUUGCCAAGGCGGACGGGUGAGUAACGCGUAAAGAACUUGCCCUGCAGACAGGGAUAACAGACGGAAACGACUGAUAACACCUGAUACAGUUGCCGGCACGCAUGUGCCUGGCAAUGAAAAGAGAUGCUGCAGGAGAGCUUUGCGUCCUAUUAGCUUGUUGGUGAGGUGACGGCUCACCAAGGCGAUGAUAGGUAGCCGGCCUGAGAGGGUGAACGGCCACAAGGGGACUGAGAUACGGCCCUUACUCCUACGGGAGGCAGCAGUGGGGAAUAUUGGACAAUGGGGGCAACCCUGAUCCAGCAAUUCUGUGUGCACGAAGAAGGUUUUCGGAUUGUAAAGUGCUUUCAGCAGGGAAGAAGAAAGUGACGGUACCUGCAGAAGAAGCGACGGCUAAAUACGUG
This 463-nucleotide ribosomal RNA is filed under the name uncultured bacterium. RNAcentral's name for it is "partial 16S ribosomal RNA". It matches the Rfam family "Bacterial small subunit ribosomal RNA", at positions 28 to 507 of the family's 1533-position model. The record is from RNAcentral.